This is a non-coding RNA of Dipodomys ordii (Ord's kangaroo rat), 67 nucleotides long. NCBI's taxonomy places the organism in Eukaryota, Metazoa, Chordata, Mammalia, Rodentia, Heteromyidae. The record is from Rfam.
GGUGGCUCAGUGGGGUAGAGUGCUUGCCUUGCAUGCAUGAGACCCUGGGUUCGAUUCCUCAGCACCA